CCUACGGGAGGCAGCAGUGAGGAAUAUUGGUCAAUGGACGAGAGUCUGAACCAGCCAAGUAGCGUGAAGGAUGACUGCCCUAUGGGUUGUAAACUUCUUUUAUAUGGGAAUAAAAUGUUCCACGUGUGGGAUUUUGUAUGUACCAUAUGAAUAAGGAUCGGCUAACUCCGUGCCAGCAGCCGCGGUAAUACGGAGGAUCCGAGCGUUAUCCGGAUUUAUUGGGUUUAAAGGGAGCGUAGGUGGAUUGUUAAGUCAGUUGUGAAAGUUUGCGGCUCAACCGUAGAAUUGCAGUUGAAACUGGCAGUCUUGAGUACAGUAGAGGUGGGCGGAAUGCGUGGUGUAGCGGUGAAAUGCUUAGAUAUCACGAAGAACUCCGAUUGCGAAGGCAGUUCACUGGACUGCAACUGACACUGAGGCUCGAAAGUGUGGGUAUCAAACAGGAUUAGAUACCCUAGUAGUC
This 460-nucleotide ribosomal RNA is filed under the name uncultured bacterium. RNAcentral describes it as "partial 16S ribosomal RNA". It matches the Rfam family "Bacterial small subunit ribosomal RNA", at positions 338 to 795 of the family's 1533-position model. The record is from RNAcentral.